Molecule: long non-coding RNA, 1848 nt
Filed under: Orussus abietinus
Lineage: Eukaryota; Metazoa; Arthropoda; Insecta; Hymenoptera; Orussidae
Description: uncharacterized LOC111674299
Source: RNAcentral
CUUGCUGUGGAGGACGGGAGUCUCUUCGAAUCGCAAGAAAAACACAGCCUACACCGUUCGAAGGAAGCUUUAGGAAUGCCUAGCCUCGCGCUUUGGGCGUUGCCUUUUAUACUCAUCAGAGCGCCGCCUAAAGCCUGGAAGAUUCCUCGGCGUAGUAAGGAGUGACGCGGCACCGCGUCGUCCCUUCCUACAUGACGUCGACUAGCGUCACCCGUCCUUUCCAUUGUGGAGCAACGCGACGUUGCCAAGUUUCAUGAGAAACACCGCCAUUUAGCAGGAGAAAUGUAGGAGCGGAUAUAAUCUGGAAGCUGGACACGAAUAUAUCUCACCAGAAUGAACGCUAUCGGCUAUUUUUAACCGCUUGGAAUUUAGGGAGCUCGUUAGAAUGAUGCGUAAUUAAUACCCCUCUCUAUUUCCUUUCUACUUAUAACACAGGAGAGAUAUUUUCACGAUUAAUGUAUCUGUGUAUGUGUCUUAUGUCUUAAAAAAGAGGUACAACUGUAGUUUCGUUAAUCCGUUGUCUUUUAACAACAAAAAGACGUCCGAUCGCAAAGGAAUGAGUCAAAGUCUGGAAAUAUCUUCGACACAGUACCAUUUACCGAAGGUACUAUUUUUCCCAGUUGGACGAUAAUUAAGGCACUUUUACCUUACAGAAAUACUUUUAAACCAUGAGAGAGCAUUUUACCCUGUCUGAAAUAUUUAAUUUACUCCCUUAACGUGUAACAUUAUCGCGAUUUUAACGAAAUUAACUUGCACGGCUUCGGAGAAAAUCUGACGAAGAGAAAGAGAUUUGGCAACGCCGCGUCGAGGUAUUCUCCUCGUCGACUUCAAGGAAGCCGUUAGGAGGAAUUCGGCGUCGGAUGCAUUUUUGGGUGGUUUACAACGUUUACAAUUCGGGAAACUCGCCAGAAACAUCGACGGUCGUUUAAACUGUGAGGCUAUGGACGUAAAUUAACGACGCCCAGGCACGUUUCUGUAAAUUGUAACGAAUUCAUACGUGCGGGAGGUACCUUGCUUUCGGAUGCUCGAUAUGUAUCUUUAAAACUGUUUUCCAAAAGUUUAGGGAAACCCGAAACGUUCGAUGCGUUUCACAGGACAAAACGUCAUUGAGUCAUGCUUUGAAACAUUGACAUUGCGAUAAGACACGACCCCGAAUCGUUGAACUACGUUACAAGAGAACGAUCUUGAUACUCGAGCCGGAUUAAACCGAGCUGACCUCUGAUUAAUUUCGAUCGUUCAAUAACGUUAAUUUAUAUUUUCAAUAGCAUUCUAGCUUCAAGAUGAUUGUACGUAUUGAAAUUAGAUGUAUCUUUGUCGGCCGUGCCCCGUAUCGAUUGCCUUUAUUGCGCAUCCCAGAAAAUGUUCUGGAACCAGAGAUGGCGGUUUAAAAUCAAUACGAAGCGUAUAAACAUAUCUGGGUGGUUAACUGGCCCUGAAAAAAGCAUCCACGAUGUCUCUAUUAUGCGCCGGGAUAAUGUAACGGCUGGUAACGUCUUCGGCUUGCAAAUUAGCUCGACUGGAUUUGAUAUAAUGUAACGUGAACGCCUGCAGGAAGAGAAGGGGAAUAAAGGAGACCGUGCGAAGGUCUGGGUAUCGAAGAAAUGGCGGAACCGUUAGGCUUUAUCGAUUGACCUUCCAGGUUCAGCUAAAUGCGAUUUCGAGAAGCCUAUAUUCAUCAGGGACUACAUUUAUGACCUAUUCUAUUCAAUCCCGGAGCCCCCUUUUGUGCUCAUUUUUCGAAAUUACCAGUCUUUACCAGCAUUUUAGAAUUUAUUUACUAAAGUUUAUAGAUGUCUAAAUAAAAUAUUCAGAGCUGUAGGGUAACACUGCGAUUGAUAUAAAAACAAU